RNAcentral lists this ribosomal RNA (465 nucleotides) under uncultured bacterium. RNAcentral's name for it is "partial 16S ribosomal RNA". It matches the Rfam family "Bacterial small subunit ribosomal RNA", at positions 338 to 795 of the family's 1533-position model. The record is from RNAcentral.
CCUACGGGAGGCAGCAGUGGGGAAUAUUGCGCAAUGGGCGAAAGCCUGACGCAGCGACGCCGCGUGAGGGAUGAAGGUCUUCGGAUCGUAAACCUCUGUCAGCAGGGAAGAACGGUCACUGUGCUAAUCAGCAGUGAAUUGACGGUACCUGCAAAGGAAGCACCGGCUAACUCCGUGCCAGCAGCCGCGGUAAUACGGAGGGUGCGAGCGUUAAUCGGAAUUACUGGGCGUAAAGCGCUCGUAGGCGGUAUGGCAAGUCAAGGGUGAAAUCCCCGCGCUCAACGUGGGAACUGCCUUUGAAACUGGCAAACUGGAGUGUGGGAGAGGAUAGUGGAAUUCCAGGUGUAGGAGUGAAAGCCGUAGAUAUCUGGAGGAACAUCAGUGGCGAAGGCGACUAUCUGGCACAUAACUGACGCUGAGGAGCGAAAGCGUGGGUAGCAAACAGGAUUAGAUACCCCUGUAGUC